CCUAUCAACUUUCGAUGGUAGGAUAGUGCCCUACCAUGGUGGUGACGGGUGACGAAGAAUUAGGGUUCGAUUCCG
Molecule: ribosomal RNA, 75 nt
Filed under: Nicotiana attenuata
Lineage: Eukaryota; Viridiplantae; Streptophyta; Magnoliopsida; Solanales; Solanaceae
Description: rRNA SSU_rRNA_eukarya
Rfam family: Eukaryotic small subunit ribosomal RNA
Source: RNAcentral